This 673-nucleotide ribosomal RNA is filed under the name uncultured fungus. RNAcentral describes it as "eukaryotic LSU rRNA". The stretch from base 260 to 413 matches the Rfam family "5.8S ribosomal RNA". The record is from RNAcentral. Lineage: Eukaryota; Fungi.
AGAGGAAGUAAAAGUCGUAACAAGGUUUCCGUAGGUGAACCUGCGGAAGGAUCAUUAAUGAAAUGAACCUUGAGGCUGUUGCUGGCCCUCUGGGCAUGUGCACGUCUCUGGUCAUUAACAAUUCCACCUGUGCACAUUUGUAGACACUUGGGAAUGAGAGAUUUUUAACUGGUCUCUUGAGAAAUCAAAUCUGGGUGUCUAUGCCAUUUUAUUAAACACCAGUUGCAUGUCUUUUAGAAUGAUGAUUGUAAUAAAAUACAACUUUCAACAACGGAUCUCUUGGCUCUCGCAUCGAUGAAGAACGCAGCGAAAUGCGAUAAGUAAUGUGAAUUGCAGAAUUCAGUGAAUCAUCGAAUCUUUGAACGCACCUUGCGCUCCUUGGCAUUCCAAGGAGCAUGCCUGUUUGAGUGUCAUUAAAGUCUCAAGACCUAUCUGGAUUUGAUAGGUAUUGGAUCUUGGGAGUUGCAGGCUUACUUGGAUAGCCUGCUCUUCUUGAAUGUAUUAGUGGAUGAAAGACCAUUUGAACUCCACUGGUGUGAUAAAGUCUAUCUAUGCCAGGAGUAAUGUUGGAUUCUCUCUGCUGUCUAACUGUCCAGGUAAAUGGACAAUUUGACCAACUUGACCUCAAAUCAGGUAGGACUACCCGCUGAACUUAAGCAUAUCAAUAAGCGGA